This is a non-coding RNA of Podarcis lilfordi (Lilford's wall lizard), 75 nucleotides long. The record is from the annotation of a GenBank genome assembly. Lineage: Eukaryota; Metazoa; Chordata; Lepidosauria; Squamata; Lacertidae.
GCGGGUAGCUCAGUUGGUUAGAGUGUGGUGUUGCUAAUGUCAAGGUUGCAGGUUCAAUUCCCGUAAGGGGAAGCU